Carya illinoinensis is the source of this 330-nucleotide long non-coding RNA. RefSeq lists it as uncharacterized. The record is from RefSeq and is a predicted model, not a curated record. The transcript has 2 exons. Lineage: Eukaryota; Viridiplantae; Streptophyta; Magnoliopsida; Fagales; Juglandaceae.
ACCACUUAGUUCUUGGGAGGUGGAGGAGCAUGUAGAAGACGUUGCCAUCGAAGGUAAAUGCUUUUAUUUGUUAAUUUUGAUUUUUUAUUGCUAGUUUAUCCAUUUAACUUAACCUCUACAUUUUUUUCUUCUAAAGGUAACCCUCUUCCUUCAACUUCAGCAACUUAAUUUAGUGGUUCAGCACAUUUGACAAACCUUCUGUAACUAGUUUGCUUUGUUGGAGACAAGGGCAUAGUGGUGUGAUGGUGGAUAAGAAGCUUUGCUAUAAUUGUGGAGAAGGUAAACAACCUUAUGUUUGCUUUAUGGAUUAUGUCUUUGCUGAAUCAAAAU